AAUUCUCAAGCUGGAUGAACUUUUCUUUAGGAAAGCACAUCUCAGUUUGGUAUUUGGGCUUUGCCGUGUCUCUUUAUUGCGAACGGCUGGCCUUAAAGAUAUUAGCUGGCCCUCAUGUAGGAUUGGUUCUACUCAGCGUGAUAAUAAUUGACUGCUGAGGACAUCUUUUGGGAUGGCCAAGUUCUGUUUGAGGGUUGCUUCUAACCCUGGCUUACGGAUUCACUUGAAUCUGUUCCAUUCACUCA
RNAcentral lists this unclassified non-coding RNA (245 nucleotides) under uncultured Cantharellales. RNAcentral's name for it is "sequence contains ITS2". The record is from RNAcentral. Lineage: Eukaryota; Fungi; Basidiomycota; Agaricomycetes; Cantharellales.